Molecule: ribosomal RNA, 244 nt
Filed under: Trichomonas vaginalis G3
Lineage: Eukaryota; Parabasalia; Trichomonadida; Trichomonadidae
Description: 5.8S ribosomal RNA
Rfam family: Eukaryotic small subunit ribosomal RNA (bases 1-137)
Source: RNAcentral
GCCCGUCGCUCCUACCGAUUGGAUGACUCGGUGAAAUCACCGGAUGCUUACGAGCAGAAAGUGAUUAAAUCACGUUAUCUAGAGGAAGGAGAAGUCGUAACAAGGUAACGGUAGGUGAACCUGCCGUUGGAUCAGUUCUAGUUUUAAUAACUAACACCAACUUCUUUUAUUAAACAAAAACCAAUACAAAAUUAAAAACUAACUUCAUCAAAAAACCAAGUCUCUAAGCAAUGGAUGUCUUGGC